GAUGAAGAACGUAGCGAAAUGCGAUACUUGGUGUGAAUUGCAGAAUCCCGUGAACCAUCGAGUCUUUGAACGCAAGUUGCGCCCGAAGCCUCGGCUAAGGGCACGUCUGCCUGGGCGUCACGCAUCGCGUCUCCCCCAAACCGCCAAGGCGGAGGGGAAGGAAGAUGGCUUCCCGUGCCUCACCCGGGCGCGGUUGGCCUAAAUUUGGAGCCCGCGGCACUUAGCUCUCGCGGCGAUAGGUGGUGAACAAGGCCUUGGCCGUGCAAACAACCCGCUGCGAAGCUCUAUGUCACGUGCGCUCGUCGGACCCUUUGAAGUUGCCUUUGGUGACUUAAAACCUUUGCGACACCAGGUCAGGCGGGGCUACCCGCUGAAUUUAAGCAUAUCAAAAGCGGAGGA
This 399-nucleotide unclassified non-coding RNA is filed under the name soil metagenome. Its description in RNAcentral is "partial contains 5.8S ribosomal RNA, internal transcribed spacer 2, and large subunit ribosomal RNA". The stretch from base 1 to 120 matches the Rfam family "5.8S ribosomal RNA", at positions 35 to 154 of the family's 154-position model. The record is from RNAcentral.